RNAcentral lists this long non-coding RNA (956 nucleotides) under Panax ginseng (ginseng). RNAcentral's name for it is "long non-coding RNA (PGIN_LNC016839)". Lineage: Eukaryota; Viridiplantae; Streptophyta; Magnoliopsida; Apiales; Araliaceae. The record is from RNAcentral.
AUAACGGAAAAUAAAACCAACAAUAUUUGAAAAAUCAUCCUUAAUGAAUUACACAAAUUAAAGAAUGAAGAAGAAGAAGAGAAAAACUCCAAGUAAAUUUUUUCAAUUCUCCCUUAGCUCCUUGAUCAGCCUCCAAUUUGUCUAGAAGAGUCCCCUAAUUCAAUGUAAAUAAACCUUAUAUACUUCCCAUAUUGUGCACCAAUCCUUCUCCAAAUCAACUUUGUCAUAAAACCACUUCUUUAAAACCUUUAACGCAAGUCAACGUCAGUCAAACGCGCGCCUUAGUCAACGCCAGUCGAGGCCCAGUGCCCCGGUGCUGAGGAAUGUACUAUGAUGAGCGCCCCGACGCUGAGGCACAGAAUGCAGCCACUUUGUCCUUUUUUAACUCAACUUUCCCAAUUUAUUCCUAUAGCUCACAAACCUGCAAUAACACAACUAAACACAGUAAAAUAAAUCUAAAUGCUUUGAGAAUACAAUAAAUUAAGCCCAAAUAUAUCCAAUCAUGGGUAUAUUACCCAAUCAUCACUAUCCAUACAUCUCAAAUUCACUUUUCAAUAUUAUUACUACUAUAUUUAAUUGUGAAUUUGACUACAUCCACAAAAUAUACCAAACUAUCCAUAAAAUUAAACUACUAAAUGAUAAGAGUAGCAGCAAAAUUGUCCUGCUAGACUUGCUCCAUGACACAUAGAAUUCACCUUGUCAAAAUAAAUUACACUCAUUCUUUGGGAAGGAUGUUUGAGAAAGAGAAAUCAUGGAAGGGAGGGCCUGCAAAGGAGGAUAAUAAGUUGAAACUGGUUCCAAAUUAGUUCAAAAAAUGGAAACUAUAAUAUAGGUUUAGCUGAACACCAAUAUUAAGUCAAAGAACCAAUUGAAACAAAAAAUUAUUUCAGAAACUAUACAUUCAUUAGUUUAAAGAAAUAACACUAUCUUGAUAUUGACUAAACCAUGAUAAAAGA